UACGGGAGGCAGCAGUGGGGAAUAUUGCACAAUGGGCGAAAGCCUGAUGCAGCGACGCCGCGUGAGGGAUGAAGGCCUUCGGGUUGUAAACCUCUUUCAGCAGGGAAGAAGCGCAAGUGACGGUACCUGCAGAAGAAGCGCCGGCUAACUACGUGCCAGCAGCCGCGGUAAUACGUAGGGCGCAAGCGUUGUCCGGAAUUAUUGGGCGUAAAGAGCUCGUAGGCGGUUUGUCGCGUCUGGUGUGAAAACUCGAGGCUCAACCUCGAGCUUGCAUCGGGUACGGGCAGACUAGAGUGCGGUAGGGGAGACUGGAAUUCCUGGUGUAGCGGUGGAAUGCGCAGAUAUCAGGAGGAACACCGAUGGCGAAGGCAGGUCUCUGGGCCGCAACUGACGCUGAGGAGCGAAAGCAUGGGGAGCGAACAGGAUUAGAUACCCUGGUAGUCCAUGCCGUAAACGUUGGGCACUAGGUGUGGGGCUCAUUCCACGAGUUCCGUGCCGCAGCAAACGCAUUAAGUGCCCCGCCUGGGGAGUACGGCCGCAAGGCUAAAACUCAAAGGAAUUGACGGGGGCCCGCACAAGCGGCGGAGCAUGCGGAUUAAUUCGAUGCAACGCGAAGAACCUUACCAAGGCUUGACAUGCACGRGAAGCCACCAGAGAUGGUGGUCUCUUUGGACACUCGUGCACAGGUGGUGCAUGGUUGUCGUCAGCUCGUGUCGUGAGAUGUUGGGUUAAGUCCCGCAACGAGCGCAACCCUCGUCCCAUGUUGCCAGCGGGUUAUGCCGGGGACUCAUGGGAGACUGCCGGGGUCAACUCGGAGGAAGGUGGGGAUGACGUCAAAUCAUCAUGCCCCUUAUGUCUUGGGCUUCACGCAUGCUACAAUGGCCGGUACAAAGGGCUGCGAUACCGUAAGGUGGAGCGAAUCCCAAAAAGCCGGUCUCAGUUCGGAUUGGGGUCUGCAACUCGACCCCAUGAAGUCGGAGUCGCUAGUAAUCGCAGAUCAGCAACGCUGCGGUGAAUACGUUCCCGGGCCUUGUACACACCGCCCGUCAAGUCACGAAAGUCGGUAACACCCGAAGCCCAUGGCCCAACC
Molecule: ribosomal RNA, 1090 nt
Filed under: Cellulosimicrobium funkei
Lineage: Bacteria; Bacillati; Actinomycetota; Actinomycetes; Micrococcales; Promicromonosporaceae
Description: bacterial SSU rRNA
Rfam family: Bacterial small subunit ribosomal RNA
Source: RNAcentral